RNAcentral lists this ribosomal RNA (256 nucleotides) under uncultured bacterium. RNAcentral describes it as "partial small subunit ribosomal RNA". It matches the Rfam family "Bacterial small subunit ribosomal RNA", at positions 26 to 284 of the family's 1533-position model. The record is from RNAcentral.
AGGAUGAACGCUGGCGGCGUGCUUAACACAUGCAAGUCGAACGAUGAUCCCAGCUUGCUGGGGGAUUAGUGGCGAACGGGUGAGUAACACGUGAGUAACCUGCCCUUAACUUCGGGAUAAGCCUGGGAAACUGGGUCUAAUACCGGAUAUUCACUUUUCACCGCAUGGUGGGGGGUGGAAAGAUUUUUUGGUUUGGAUGGACUCGCGGCCUAUCAGCUUGUUGGUGAGGUAAUGGCUUACCAAGGCGACGACGGGU